Dendrobium catenatum is the source of this 691-nucleotide long non-coding RNA. RefSeq lists it as uncharacterized. The transcript is spliced from 2 exons. Lineage: Eukaryota; Viridiplantae; Streptophyta; Magnoliopsida; Asparagales; Orchidaceae. The record is from RefSeq and is a predicted model, not a curated record.
UCUCCGUUCCGGGUCGGGGUUGUCGGGCCGCACGGUAAAUAGUGAGAACACAUGACACUAUUUUACUGGCGUCCGAACGUAAAGCUACGUCAGGUGACCGGACCAAAUAAAAGUUCCACGUAGGGCGAGUUCCUAGAGUGUAUGCUGGUGAGUGACGUCCUCUCUUCGAACGGAUUUCCCCAUGAAUUCGGUAGGGCAUUUUAUCCCCGAGAAAGAAUAUUCUUGCUAUGACCCAACCAAUACAUGUAAAAUGUGAAGACAACUAAAGACUAAAGGUGUGUACAAUGAAUGUUGAAAAUUUUCAUUAAUAAUUGUUAUAAUUGAUCCCAUCCCAUUAGUUCCCGACCUAUUUAUUAUACUAUGUUGAUAUUGGAAUUCACUGACGUUUUCUUUUCAAUUUUUUUGUUCUCUUGAAUUCAUUGAUGUUAAAUGAUGGCAAAAGAAAUUUAUUAAUGCUUUCACUGCAAAAUUUGAAUACUUUGUUUCCUCGCGUUUCUUAUUUUUGCAGUUGGUUAGUUGCUUCAACAACUGCCGCUUCUUUUACGGCCUACCUAAAACAGUACCUUCACAGGAGAGCGCUGGCCUAAACGAAAAUUAAAUAUUAGGCAGGUAUUAAAGGGCUUGGAGAUGUAUUCUUGAACACCCUAAGGAAGACAUUAAUUUAAUCUUAACCCAAAAUUUCAAAUGGUUA